UGGAUCCAGACUUUGAUUAUGGCUCAGGACGAACGCUGGCGGCACGCUUAACACAUGCAAGUCGAACGGAGAAUAUCGAAGCUUGCUUUGAUAUUCUUAGUGGCGGACGGGUGAGUAACACGUGAGUAACCUGCCUCUGAGAGUGGGAUAGCUUCUGGAAACGGAUGGUAAUACCGCAUGAAAUCAUAGUAUCGCAUGGUACAAUGAUCAAAGAUUUAUCGCUCAGAGAUGGACUCGCGUCUGAUUAGCUAGUUGGUAAGGUAACGGCUUACCAAGGCGACGAUCAGUAGCCGGACUGAGAGGUUGAUCGGCCACAUUGGGACUGAGACACGGCCCAGACUCCUACGGGAGGCAGCAGUGGGGAAUAUUGCACAAUGGGGGAAACCCUGAUGCAGCGAUGCCGCGUGGAGGAAGAAGGUUUUCGGAUUGUAAGCUCCUGUUGAAGAGGACGAUAAUGACGGUACUCUUUUAGAAAGCUCCGGCUAACUACGUGCCAGCAGCCGCGGUAAUACGUAGGGAGCGAGCGUUGUCCGGAAUUACUGGGUGUAAAGGGAGCGUAGGCGGGACGGCAAGUCAGAUGUGAAAACUAUGGGCUCAACCCAUAGACUGCAUUUGAAACUGUUGUUCUUGAGUGAGGUAGAGGUAAGCGGAAUUCCUGGUGUAGCGGUGAAAUGCGUAGAGAUCAGGAGGAACAUCGGUGGCGAAGGCGGCUUACUGGGCCUUUACUGACGCUGAGGCUCGAAAGCGUGGGGAGCAAACAGGAUUAGAUACCCUGGUAGUCCACGCCGUAAACGAUGAUUACUAGGUGUGGGGGGACUGACCCCUUCCGUGCCGCAGUUAACACAAUAAGUAAUCCACCUGGGGAGUACGGCCGCAAGGUUGCAACUCAAAUGAAUUGACGGA
This 903-nucleotide ribosomal RNA is filed under the name uncultured organism. Its description in RNAcentral is "bacterial SSU rRNA". It matches the Rfam family "Bacterial small subunit ribosomal RNA", at positions 1 to 917 of the family's 1533-position model. The record is from RNAcentral.